CAUUAUUUGAUGAUAGUGAUGAUGUUGAUAUUUAAUAAGUAUUUUAUAUGAAAGCUGAUAAUAUACAGUAUUAUACAAUAAUAAUGAUUAUGUUGUAUUUUAUAUGUUAUUCAUUAUGAUGUAUUGAUGACAAGGACAGUAUAUCAUUGCAGUGUGAUCAAAUAGAAAUUUACAGCAUAGAACAACAAUGAUACACACACAAGCACACACAGUGCAGUAAAUUAUGUCAGAUCUGCGUCUCAUAUUUCUGUCUGGACCCUUCUGAAAGUUUCACUUGACCAAAUACAGCCAUGAUUGGUUAAUGAAGUGGUUACAGAACAUUCUACUUUCUGUAUGUUGGUCAACUAGAAAUGAUGUAAUCAAAAGGAAAGAGAAAAGAACCUGUCAAAAUAAAUCCCUCUUUCAGAAUCUCCUUGUUUGUCUGUCUCUCCUUUACUCCCUACUUUAAUCUCUUCCCUGUUCUUUUCAGUUCUCUCUCUCUCUCCACUUCCAGAGGUCUCGUUACUCCUUCCAGAGGUCUCGUUACUCCUUCCAGAGGUCUCGUCACUCCUUCCAGAGGUCUCAUCUCACCUUUCAGUCCUCUCUUUCCUUUCAGGGUCCUCUCUUUCCUUUCAGUCCUCUCUUUCCUUUCAGGGUCCUCUCUUUCCUUUCAGAGUCCUCUCUUUCCUUUCAGAGUCCUCUCUUUCCUUUCAGAGUCUUCUCUUUCCUUUUAGAGUCCUCUCUUUCCUUUUAAUGUCCUCUCUUUCCUUUUAGAGUCCUCUCUUUCCUUUUAGAGUCCUCACUCUCCUUUUAGAGUCCUCGCUCUCCUUUUAGAGUCCUCGCUCUCCUUUUAGUCCUCGCUCUCCUUUUAGAGUCCUCGCUCUGAGUUGUCCUCUUGCCCUCUUUUCAGAGAUCUACUGGUAAUUAACCAGUCUAACAUCAGAUACAUUUUAAUCAUCCAAUCAAAUCACAUACAUACACAUACAACCAAUUUGAUGUGUUACAUUGGGAUUUGUCCAGUUGUCAGAUUCUAUUCCAUCUAGUGUUUUACAAUAAAAGAUUUAAUGACAUCAUGAAUUAUUUCACAUAAUGAUAGCAUUCAGACCCCAUUCUCUUUUUCCCUCUCUUUCAUUCCCCUUUCAUUGUUCAGCAUUCAGAACUUCAGUUGGGGAAUUGGAUUACCUCUUUCUAUCCCUCUUCCAACCCCUCAUCCCUCUUCCACCCCUCAUCCCUCUUUCACCUCCUCAUCCCUCUUUCACCCACUCAUCCCUCUUCCACCCCUCAUCCCUCUUUCACCUCCUCAUCCCUCUUCUACCCCCUCAUCCCUCGUUCACCUCCUCAUCCCUCUUUCACCCCCUCAUCCCUCUUUCACCCCCUCAUCCCUCUUCCACCCCCUCAUCCCUCUUCCACCUC
Long non-coding RNA from Esox lucius (northern pike), 1392 nucleotides. The record is from Ensembl. Lineage: Eukaryota; Metazoa; Chordata; Actinopteri; Esociformes; Esocidae.